AGAGUUUGAUCAUGGCUCAGAUUGAACGCUGGCGGUAUGCUUAACACAUGCAAGUCGAAUGGUAACAGUCCCUCACCUAGAAAUUUCUUAAAAAGAGAUUUGUAGGUGAGGGAGCUGACGAGUGGCGGACGGGUGCGUAAUGUAUAGGAAUCUGCCUGGUAGUGGGGGACAACUCGGAGAAAUUCGAGCUAAUACCGCAUAAGCCCUACGGGGGAAAACGGGGGAUCUUCGGACCUCGUGCUAUUAGAUGAGCCUAUAUUAGAUUAGCUUGUUGGUGAGGUAAUGGCUUACCAAGGCGACGAUCUAUAGCUGGUCUGAGAGGAUGAUCAGCCACACUGGGACUGAGACACGGCCCAGACUCCUACGGGAGGCAGCAGUGGGGAAUAUUGGACAAUGGGCGAAAGCCUGAUCCAGCAAUACCGCGUGUGUGAAGAAGGCCUGAGGGUUGUAAAGCACUUUCAAUUGGGAGGAAUACCUAAUAGUUAAUAGCUAUUAGAUUGACA
Molecule: ribosomal RNA, 503 nt
Filed under: uncultured bacterium
Lineage: Bacteria
Description: bacterial SSU rRNA
Rfam family: Bacterial small subunit ribosomal RNA
Source: RNAcentral